GAUGAAGAACGUAGCGAAAUGCGAUAAGUAAUGUGAAUUGCAGAAUUCAGUGAAUCAUCGAAUCUUUGAACGCACAUUGCGCCCUUUGGUAUUCCGAAGGGCAUGCCUGUUCGAGCGUCAUUACAACCCUCAAGCUCUGCUUGGUAUUGGGCACCGUCCUUUGCGGGCGCGCCUCAAAGACCUCGGCGGUGGCGUCUUGCCUCAAGCGUAGUAGAACAUACAUCUCGCUUCGGAGCGCAGGGCGUCGCCCGCCGGACGAACCUUCUGAACUUUUCUCAAGGUUGACCUCGGAUCAGGUAGGGAUACCCGCUGAACUUAAGCAUAUCAAUAAGCGGAGG
This 338-nucleotide unclassified non-coding RNA is filed under the name soil metagenome. Its description in RNAcentral is "partial contains 5.8S ribosomal RNA, internal transcribed spacer 2, and large subunit ribosomal RNA". The stretch from base 1 to 120 matches the Rfam family "5.8S ribosomal RNA", at positions 35 to 154 of the family's 154-position model. The record is from RNAcentral.